GUGCUUGCUUCGGCAGCACAUGUACUAAAAUUGGAACGAUACAGAGAAGAUUAGCAUGGCCCCUGCACAAGGAUGACACACAAAUUCGUGAAGUGAAAUGACAUAUA
Small nuclear RNA from Monodelphis domestica (gray short-tailed opossum), 107 nucleotides. NCBI's taxonomy places the organism in Eukaryota, Metazoa, Chordata, Mammalia, Didelphimorphia, Didelphidae. The record is from Ensembl.